This 490-nucleotide ribosomal RNA is filed under the name uncultured bacterium. RNAcentral's name for it is "partial 16S ribosomal RNA". It matches the Rfam family "Bacterial small subunit ribosomal RNA", at positions 30 to 507 of the family's 1533-position model. The record is from RNAcentral.
AUUGAACGCUGGCGGCAUGCUUUACACAUGCAAGUCGGACGGCAGCGGGGUACUGCUUGCACUACUGCGGGCGAGUAGCGCACGGGUGAGUCAUAUAUUGGAACGUACCGAGUAAUGGGGGAUAACCAAUCGAAAGAUUGGCUACUACCGCAUACGCCCUGAGGCGGAAAGCAGGGGACCUUGGGUCCUUGCGUUAUUCUAGCGGCCAAUAUCUGAUUCGCUAGUUGGUGGGGUAAGGGCCUACCAAGGCGACGAUCAGUAGCGGGUCUGAGAGGAUGAUCGGCCACACUGGGAGGGAGACACGGCCAAGAGGCCUAAGAGAGGCAGCAGUGGGGAAUGUUAGACAAUGGGCGCAAGCAUGAUCCAGCCAGGCCGCGUGUCUGAAGAAGGCCUUCGGGUUGUAAAGAACGUUUGUUAGGGAAGAAAAAGGAGCGGCUAAUACCCGUUUCUGCUGACGGUACCUAAAGAAUAAGCACCGGCUAACUACGUG